UCUUUCUUUUUUUGGAGACGGAGUGUCACUCUGUUGUCUAGGCUGGAGUGCAGUGGCGUGAUCUCAGCUUACUGCAAGCUCUGCCUCCCAGGUUCAAGCUAUUCUCCUGCCUCAGCCUCCCGAGUAGCUGGGACCACAGGCAAACACCACCAUGCCUGGCUAAUUUUUGCAUUUUUAGUAGAGACAGGAUUUCACCAUUUUAGCUGGGCAGCUCUCGAACUCCUGACCUCAGGUGAUCUGCCUGCCUCGGCCUCCCAAGGUGCUGGGAUUACAGGCGUUAGCCACAGUGCCCGGCCAUAUUUUCUGAAGCACUGGAAGAUUGAGUGGCCUAGUCAUCAAACAGUUCAUUUCUGUGAUCUGUGUAAAAAGACCCCACAUACCUACAUCUUAGUGUAGAGUAGCAGUUCUCAAUGUGGGUCGAGGGUCUAGGACAUGGUUUUGCCUCUGAGGAGACGUUUGUCUAGGGACAUUUUUGAUACUUGUGACUGGGGGAAGGGGUGUCAAUCUUAUCUAAAGGAUAGAGGCCAGGAUGCUGCCAAAUACCUUAUAAUAUAGAAGACACUCCCCACAACAGAGUAUUGUCCAGCUCAAAAUAUCACCAGUGCCAAGGCUGAGAAACCUUCAUCUAGGGUGGCAGAGUUACCAUGAAAUUUCAUGCUCAUUGAACUUGGAUGAGGUACUGACUAGUACUAUAUUAUCAAGUAUCUAACUCUAUUUCUCGUCUCCUUAAUUUUUUUCUCAUAUAGAUGUUCCACUUUGAGCAGUAGUAAAGAUUUUCUUUCCCAUUAUCUCUAUUCUUAUUCAUGAUCGGAAUGAGUCCUGUGAGGUCACCAGGGCCUCUAAGUUGUUAAAGGGUACACUUGGGAGGGGAGAGGCUACAAAAUAUGAAAAGAAACUUGUUAUUACUUUGGAGGUGGCCAUUUGCCCAUUCAGACAGGUAAGAGAGUCUGGGUAUGGUGGCUCAUGCCUGUAAUUUCAACAUUUGGGAGGCCAAGGCAGGAGAAUUGCUUGAGCUCAGGAGUUCAAGAAAGACCAGCCUGGGCAACAUAGCAAUACUCUGUUUCUACAAAAAAAUUAAAAAUUAUCCAGACGUGGUGGUGUGCAGCUGUAGUCAGGGCUACUUCGGAGGCUGAAGUGGGAAGAUCACUUGAACCUGGGAGGUCAAGGCUGCAGAGAGCCAUCAUCAUGCCACUUCACUUCAGCCUGGGAAACAGAGUGAGACCUUGAAGAAGAAAGAAAGAAAGGAAAGGAAGAAGAAAGAAAGAAAGGAAGGAAGGAAGAAAGGAAGGAAGGAAGAAAGAAAGCAAGAAACCACAACUGGAAGCCUUAGGAGGUUGGCAUGUAGUGGAUAUUUCUUUUCCAUUCCCUAAACUGACUUCCCAUUAAAAGAUAUUUUGCAGACAAGCCACAGCCCGGGAGAAGAUAUAUGCAAAAUACACGUGUGAUAAAGGACUUGCACCCAUAAUAUACAAAGAAUUCUUAAAACUCAGCAAUAAAAAAAUAGACAAUGCAAUUAAAAAGCAGGCAAAAAUCUGAACAGACUCUUCACCAAAGAAGAUGUGCAGCUGGCAAAUAAGGAUAUGAAAAGGUGCUCCACAUCAUAUGUUAUUAGGAAUUGCAAACUAAAACAACGAAAAACAACUACACACCUGUUAGAAUGGCAAAAAUCCAAAAACACUGAUAAAAUCAAAUGUACACAAGGAUCUGUCCUUCAUUGCUUGUGGGAAUGCAAAAUGGCACCUUGAAAGACAAUUUGGUGGUCUCUUACAAAGCUAAACUUCAGUCUUACCAUACAAUUCAGCAAUAGUGCUCCUAAGUAUGUGGCCCAAUAAAUUGAAAACUCAUGUUCACACAAAAACUUGCACAUAAUUACUUAUAGCAGCUUUUUUUCAUAAUUGAUGAAAAUUGUAAACUGUCAAGAUGUCCUUCAAUAGGUGAAGAGAUGAACAAACUGAUAUGUCAAUAAAAUGGAAUAUUAUUCAGUGAUAAAAAGAAACAAGGUAUCAAGCCACAUGGAGAACCUCAAAAGCCUAUUGCUAAGUGAAAAAAACAAAAAGCCAAUUUGGAAAGGCUACAUGUUGAAUCAUCGCAAAUGUAUGACAUUCUGGAAAAGACAAAACUACAGAAACUGUAGAAAGAUGAGUGUUUGUCAGAGGGAGGUAAUUGAGGGAGGAAUGAAUAGAUGGAGCACAGAGGACUUUUAGGGCAUUAAAAGUAAACUGUAUGAUAUUAUCAUGGUGACUAUAUGACAUUAUGCAUUUGUUAAAACCCACAGAACUGUACAACACCAAAAGUGAACCCUAAACUAAAGUACAGACUUCAGUUAAUAUAAUGGAUGUAUUAAUAUUGUUUCACAAAUAGCAACAGAUAUACCACAACAAUGCAAGAUGUUAAUAAUGGGGGAAACUCCUGUGGUGGGUAGCAGAGGUAUAUGGGAACUCUCUGUACUCUGCUCAAUAACUCUGUAAACCUAAAAAUCUCUAAAAAUUGAAGUCUGUUAGGGAUGAAAUAAUUUUUAGAUACAUGGUAAAGAAAAGAAAAGAUACUUUACUGCUCUGCCAGCGUUGUUGAAACUAGUUUUGAGAGCUGUAAUUAUUUGUUCCUGGU
This 2607-nucleotide long non-coding RNA is filed under the name Homo sapiens (human). Its description in RNAcentral is "HSALNT0271217". Lineage: Eukaryota; Metazoa; Chordata; Mammalia; Primates; Hominidae. The record is from RNAcentral.